GCGCACCAGGCGAGAAACUUUACAAUGUGCGAAAGCACGAUAAGGGAACUCUGAGUGCCUCCUAAGGAGGCUGUUCAGGUGUCUAAAAGCACCUGAAGGAAGGGCUGGGUAAGACCGGUGCCAGCCGCCGCGGUAACACCGGCAGCCCAAGUGGUAGCCACGUUUAUUGGGUCUAAAGCGUCCGUAGCCGGCUGGGUAAGUUCCUUGGGAAAUUUGGCUGCUUAACAGUCAAGCUUUCAGGGAAUACUGCCCGGCUUGGGACCGGGAGAGGUCAGAGGUACUCCAGGGGUAGGGUGAAAUCCAUUAAUCCUUGGGGGACCACCGGUAGCGAAGGCGUCUGACCAGACCGGGUCCGACGGUGAGGGACGAAGGCUAGGGGCGCGAACCGGAUUAGAUACCCGGGUAGU
This 407-nucleotide ribosomal RNA is filed under the name uncultured microorganism. Its description in RNAcentral is "bacterial SSU rRNA". It matches the Rfam family "Archaeal small subunit ribosomal RNA", at positions 330 to 745 of the family's 1478-position model. The record is from RNAcentral.